AGCAGCCGCGGUAAUUCCAGCUCCAAUAGCGUAUAUUAAAGUUGUUGCAGUUAAAAAGCUCGUAGUUGAACUUCGGGGUUUACUCAUUGGUCAGGCUUAAUUGUCUGUACUGGUGAGAUGAAUCUCUACCUUCUGAGGAACUUUCAUGCCAUUUAUUUGGUGUGGUUGGAAAUCAGGACUGUUACUUUGAAAAAUUAGAGUGUUUAAAGCAGGCUAACAUCUGAAUACAUUAGCAUGGAAUAAUGAAAUAGGACGGAUUGAUUCUAUUUCGUUGGUUUCUAGGGUCACCGUAAUGAUUAAUAGGGAUAGUUGGGGGCAUUAGUAUUCAAUUGUCAGAGGUGAAAUUCUUGGAUUUAUUGAAGACUAACUACUGCGAAAGCAUUUGCCAAGGAUGUUUUCAUUAAUCAAGAACGAAAGUUAGGGGAUCGAAGACGAUCAGA
This 440-nucleotide ribosomal RNA is filed under the name uncultured Diversispora. Its description in RNAcentral is "SSU rRNA". It matches the Rfam family "Eukaryotic small subunit ribosomal RNA", at positions 569 to 1012 of the family's 1831-position model. The record is from RNAcentral. Lineage: Eukaryota; Fungi; Glomeromycota; Glomeromycetes; Diversisporales; Diversisporaceae.